GACGAACGCUGGCGGCGUGCUUAACACAUGCAAGUCGAACGGAAAGGCCCCCAUCUUGGUGGGGGUGCUCGAGUGGCGAACGGGUGAGUAACACGUGGGUGAUCUGCCCUGUACUUCGGGAUAAGCUUGGGAAACUGGGUCUAAUACCGGAUAGGACCAUGGUUUAGUGUCUCAUGGUGGAAAGAUUAUUGUUUUGGUGCAGGAUGAGCUCGCGGCCUAUCAGCUUGUUGGUGGGGUAAUGGCCUACCAAGGCGUCGACGGGUAGCCGGCCUGAGAGGGUGGACGGCCACAUUGGGACUGAGAUACGGCCCAGACUCCUACGGGAGGCAGCAGUGGGGAAUAUUGCACAAUGGGCGCAAGCCUGAUGCAGCGACGCCGCGUGAGGGAUGACGGCCUUCGGGUUGUAAACUCCUUUCGUUAGGGACGAAGCCGCACUUUUUUUGGGUGUGGUGACGGUACCUUUGUUAAGAAGCACCGGCUAACUACGUG
Molecule: ribosomal RNA, 489 nt
Filed under: uncultured bacterium
Lineage: Bacteria
Description: partial 16S ribosomal RNA
Rfam family: Bacterial small subunit ribosomal RNA
Source: RNAcentral